UUCCUUAUCAGAUAAAUGAUUUUAAAAAAUUUUCUGCUGUGUGUUGUUUUUUCACUUUCUGGAUGGUGUCCUUUGAAGCAAAGUUUUAAAAUUUGAUGAACUCCAAUUUAUCUCUGUUUUCUUUUUCCUUGUUCUUUUGGGGUAAUAUUUAAUAUCUGAGGUAUUUUAUUUAAACUUUUAUAUAUAAAAUAACUUAAUUAUUAAGACCGAUCUAGGAGACGGGUGCUGUUGUUGUCCCCAGUCUAUGGAUAGGAGACUGGGAUGCAGAAAAUUUCACUGACUUAUCAGUGUCAAAGCUACCCAGUGCUGUGGGAGUUCAGACCCUCAUGUUUGUCCCCAGCAUCUGUGCUCUUCACCACCAUGCUCCACUCCUUCCUGGAAUCGUUAAUGAAAAAGUCUUUACUUUUUUGAUUUCUUGUUAGUUUUUGUUUUUCUCAUUGGGGCCUCAUCUCCUCAUUUUCCUAAAAGAGAUCAGUGUAGGUUUAUUUUAGGUCUCAUGUAGGCAGAAGCAUUGCUAUCAGUUAACUUCUUUAUUACUCACUCCCCAGUGAUGGCUGUUGCUAAUUGACCUAAUGAAGUCUUGCUUUAGUCUUUCCUUCUCAUGACACUAACAACAGAGUCAAGACUUACAGAAUGCUUAAAGAAGAAAGUACUUGAUUGAUUUUAUUUUGCUACCCAAUCAAACCAAUCAAAUAAAAACCCCAGAGUUGACACAGACGGUAAGCCCUCCAGAAUAGGGUCACUGUCUUCCUUGUGUUUCAUUUGUUUGGUCACAGUGUCUGCAUAGUGCCUUGCUGUCCAGCAGUUUUGUUAGGAUACAGUGCUCGUGAAUCAUUGUAAGGACAGUAUUUUGACAACAGACUGUGCUGUUCAUUUAACGAGGGAAAAGUUAAUAUAGAAAUACUGCUCAGAUCUAUUUUAAAAUUAAGCUUGGAAUUUUGAGCAGAGUUCAAAAAACCAUACAAAGAUAUUUUUCACUAAUUUUAGAUCUAUCUUAGACACAUUAUGGUUACAUAGCAGAGUACCUUAACAAGUAGAUUUGACAAGAGGUGUGUAUUAUUGAUUAUUUGUUUUAGUUGAAAUAUUCUACCUGGGAUAAAAUAUUCAGUGCCCAUAAAUGAACAAAUAUGUUUGUAUUUCCAUGCAACAUGGGAGCAGACUUCAUAAGUUUCUAUAUAAUAUAUAUGACUGUGUGUUUUAAUCUGUCUGUCAGUGUUUUUAGUUUUUCAGCAAUGUUGUAACUUUAGAAUUCUUCUAAGAAAAUCACCCCAGAUUCUAGUGCAGUUUGUACUGUGUAUCCUGUCUUAUGCAUGGGAUUCCACUGUCCCCACAGGGAGGAAUUUCCUCUUCUAUUGAGUUAGUAUCAGAGUUAAAGGAACUGUGAUUUCUAGGCCUUUGCUCUCCAUGUGUUUGCAGUUGGCUGUCAAUCGCGAUUUUCCCUUUCCUGAGUUUUCAUUGUUCAAUUAGAAUUUUUGAAAAUAACUAUUAAUAUGUUGCAUCGGUCUCCCUAGAAACUUGAUGUAUUUGUGCUUUUCAGUUUUCAAUUUAUGAAAAAUGUAAAUACACACUUGUUUUUAAGUAGUCUUUUUUCACUAGAUAUUUGGUUACCUCUUUAUACUUAAAAUAUUUUUAUCCCAAUGAAUGAAUCCUUGUGCAUGUUUUAAAAGAUACCUUACUUUUAAUUUUUCUUAUUGUAACAGUUAUAUUCAUUGUAGAGAAUUUAGGAAAUACGGAUAAACAUAUUAAUAACUUAAAAUGGCCUCUAAUCUCACCUAGACAUACAGUUAAAGGUUUGAAAUUGAGAAUUACAAGUCCUCUCACAUUGUUCUUCUUUUUCAAGUACGUUUUGGUUACUGAGACCCUCGAAUUCCCAUAUGAAUUGUAGCAGCAGCUAGUCAGUUUCUGCAGAGGAGACCGCAGGGAUUGUGAUCGAGACCACGUUGAAUAUACGGAUCGUUCUGGGGAGCACUGCCAUUCCAAGAGCGCUGUCUUCUGAUCCAGCAAUGUGCGUGGUUUGUCCAGGUGAUAAUGCUCUGGCUGCUGAAUGUGCCCUUUCCCCAGACUUGGUUUUGGAGUUAAGUCACCAUCAGUGGAGCCCUCUCUUUAAAAGAUGAAGAAAACAUUUGCUCCUUCUCCCUGGUUGGGGACUUGGAUGAGAUGAGAGUUCUACAUAUAGAUGGUUACAUUCUGUACCUGGAAAUUUCUACAAAAUUUCUUCCCACUAUCUCUCCAUCUGAGGCGGCAGCGUGCUCUCUUACCAGCAUCAGGAGCUCAGGGCCACGGGAUGGUGGGGGCUGACUGCAUUGCCGUCAAGACAGCUGAGCUAGUCACUGCAGGUGCCCUCACCUCCAGUAGCAUCCAUCCAGACACCGGAACUGACACUGGCCGUGCUCAGAACUGCCUCAGCCCUGAAGACACAACUGACAAAUAGAAGAGGACCACGCCCUGUUAUAGCAGGUGCUCGCACUUUGUGGAUCCUUAUGUAACUGAGCGGUGUUAAUCAGGAUUGCCCGUUCUACAUUGUGUGGCGCUGCUGCGGUGUCUCCUAGUUACUUGUUUCUCUCGAUUUAUUCACUCAGGGGUAUAUCAUGGACGUUCUCCCACUCCAGACUCACCCGGCCCUUUCAGAUAGAUUGGAGGGGUCUCCUGAUGUGCGGGUGUCGUCUCUUGUCCACGGACACAUUUGGUGGGAGAGUGCUGUGGACAAGGCCCUGGACCACGGCGAAACGCCGGCUCCCUCAGUACCCGCAGCUCGCCUUGAUUUACCGCAUCAUUGUCUUGAUGGUGGACAGUUAAGUUUUCUCCAUUUUCCACUGCCAGAAAGAAUGUUUGACUUGCAUCCUUCUUGUACAGACAUUCCUGUGAUCUUGUAUGUGUAUUUCUUUAGUUAAGGCUUCUGGAAAUUUAGUCCCUGUAUGUGACAUUUACAUUCACCACAGACUCCUUUCAAGUGACUAGAAAUUCCUUCUCCAUUGGGGAAUGAAAAAAUGCACAAUUACUUAUGUAACCAAUUCUCUAUCGCUGGAUAUGAUUUCACUUCAGUUUUUCUUCCCACCUUUGUAAACAGUGCUGUGUAAAUGCCCUGAUGGGUACAUCUUUUUGUACUGAUUUUUUUUCCUAAAGGAAACGAUUCCUAGAAGUGGAGUUGAGUCAGUGUGUAUGUACGUUUUUCAGAGCUUACAAAUCCAUUGAUAUGUCAUCCUCUGAAAAAGUCGCUCAUGAUUUGUUCUCCCACAGAUGGACACUAGCUAGUAUAUCUUAAAAAUAUUUGCCAAUAUGAUAAGCAAAAGUGCUUUUUCAUUGUUUUUGUUUGCAUUUGAUGACCAGUGAAGUUUUGAGCAUUUUUCACUCAUUAGCCAUUUGACUUUUUUAAAAUGAAUGAUUCCUUUUGUCCUUUGCCCACAUUUAAGUGAGGGAGCUUCUAGUUGCUUUGUGACAGCUUUUUGUAUGUUAUGAAAAUUAACUUCGUGAAUUCAUCAACAUGUAUCACAGAGCUUUUUCUUGUCAUUUCUUUCCUUUCAUGUUGUUCAGGAAUUUUUUUGAUUUUUGUUGUGGCUCAAACUAUUCUUAGGAUAGUAAAUGUCUUCCUUAUGGGUUUUAUCAUUGACAUUAUUCUUAGAAAUACUCUCUUAUAAUGGAAUAAAUCUCUUCUGUAGGUUUAUUUAAUCUCUAAGAUGGAGAUUAUAAUAGUACAUGUUAUAGUGAGGAGAAGUUGAGUUAAUAAGAGCAAAGAGUUGUAUUUGCUGUUACUAGUACUUUUUAAUAUUUACAUCGCUAUCUGCAAUUUAUCUUGUGGUCAUUAUGACAGGAAUGGAAUUUAUUCUUUCCAGGUGAUUCUCUGUCCCAGGACAAUUAUCGAAUUCAUAAUUUUCUCUUUGAUUUGAAAUCCCACCUGUACAAGAUACUUACAUACACUAGAGUCUUUUUUGAGCUCAUGGUUCCCUUCUGUCAAUCUCCUUUCCUUACUCCAGCACCAUAUCUUACAUGUUGUAAAAAUUUAUUUAAUAACUGGCAGUCUGAUUUUUUUUGAUUCUUUUCUUCCAUCCCAAAUUUUCUUGUCAAGUAUUAUGACUUUAUUAUUCCUGAAGAAUUCCAAAAUAUUUUGUUCAAGUUAAAAAAAAUCAGAUUGGAAUUUUCAUGGGAUUUUUUAGUAAGUUUUGAAUUAUUCUUAGGAGAACAUACAUCUUAACAAAACUGCUUUUCUCCAUGCAAUAUGUUUAUGUCUCUACAUUCAUACCUCUUACUUUAACCCUCAGUACAGUCCUGAAGUUUCUCCAUUUAGAAUAUGGGCAUUAUUUUUGAAUUUAUUCCAGAUUAUUGUUUAUGUUUUUGUUAAUUUUUUAAGUGAGAAUUUUUUGCUAUUAUAUUUUUAAAUGCUUAAAACUGACAUUUAGAAAGGAAGAUUCGGUUUGUCAAUACUCACUUUGUAACUUGUCAUUUAAAAUUGUAAGUAUUAAGUACUUGUUCCAGAAUCCUUUCUUUUCUGUUUUUUAAAAUUUGUUUCCAAGAUUCUCAAAAUGUUCAUAGCUAAGUAGUAUAGGUGGGGACACAGAUGGAGAGAGGAAGUGUGGCUCACGAACAAACUGUGAGCACUUUCAUGGGUGCCUUUAGGCUGGAGAAGCCACAGAAGAGCCCAGGUUAGACCAAGGGUGGCUUUGUAUGCACUUGAAAGCCAGCUUUCCUGCCUGUAUGGUGAAGCCUGGUGGGCGUGGCAGGUAGAUGAUCAAGGUCUGAUCAAGGUCAUUGGCUGCACAGAGCGCUGUGUCUGUGAGAACUGGAGACCAUUACCAUGGGAAAUGCUUGGUGCCAGGAACACUGCAGGGGAGCUGGGGGCCUGUGUGUUAAGGAUUUUCCAGCCCUGGGAGUGGGAAGAUGAGACUCUGCAUUCAGAUCUGAGUUUGAAUUCAUCCUCUCUUGUUUACUGGUCCUCUGACUUUUGUCAAGUUAUCUACCCGCUUUGAACUCCUGUUUUCUUGUCUCUCAAAACAGGAGAAUUACAGCCUGCUGCUAGAGUGUUUGCUCAGGGUAAAUGAUUUGUGUCUAUAAGAUGCCACGUACAGUCACAAUCUCAGUGAGAAAUGGGCUGUCGCCUCUUCGUCUGCAACUCAGUGCUCGAUAAGACAUCGGGGGAAAGCCAGUCCCUAAUUUGUAUGUGAUGCAAUGAGGAACAAAAUUAACGUCUUGCCUUUCCCUAGCAGUAUUCUUACUUCUUUGCUUCAUUUACCUCUUUCCUCCUUUACUCUCCCCUUUCACCUCCUCCACCAAAAGAGACUGAGUCUGUCUCAGAACACUACAUUCAAAUUACUUUAAAUGUUGGCUCAUCCCCAUGAAAUUACAGUGAAAUUAAAAAUAAUCUGUACACGUCCCAGAUAUGAUUAUAUUUGAUUUACACACACACACACACACACACACACACACAAAAUCAGGCUACCUCCCAUUUGCUGAGGGAGAAGGACCACUUUUUCUGAGUUUUCAUUCCCUGAGCGUGAGAGCAAUGUCUCUUAAGCAGAAAUUCGCCUGGCUUCUUGCAUGGUUUUUUAAAUUGGAUUUCUGCUUUUUGUCCACAGAAAUAGACUCCUAUUAGAAGAGGGGAAGUGGAGACAUAGAUAUUCUGCUGAGAUAUUGGUGUCAUCGUAUUUGAGUUGGAAAGAACUUACGACAGCAUAGAGUCGUACCUUUUUAUGGGAUCUGAGGAGGAGGAGAAAGGAACUCAGGUAGAGAUCCAGGAAGAUAUCAGACUGUGUUAAGAGAGGACAGACACAGUGACACGGGGAGCGAGGACACUUGCAGCAAGUGUAAGAAUGCCGGUGACUGAGUUAGAAGCAUGCUCCCAAGCUGUCGGUGUCCUUGCCAAUCAGAAGCGGACACUGGAAGCUUCCAAAUUUUUCCAGAAUGCGUUCUACAUUCACCUUCGGCAGAUAAGGAGACUGAGAAUUAAGUCUUCUCUCUUUGGGUGGAGCUCAUUAUCAAUGACGGGAAGUUGUAAGGAAAAAGAUAUUGUUUCAUCCUGAGAAAACAUUUUUCUGAGAGUCAGCAGUGAAGAAGGUGGACACUGAAGAAGAUCCAUCCCUUUUCUCUGCUCUUCCGGUCCAUCUGUCUCCCUCCACUUUUCCCCUCCUCUCCUCCCCCUCCCAUCUUCUCCCUCCCUCGCUGCCCCACCUUCUCUCGCAGAACCCAGAGUGGAUCGCUGGCCCUCCUGCGCAUGGGCAGUCGGUGCCAGCUGGACCGCGGGUUGGAAGCUCCAGCUCCGAGCCGGGGAUCGGCCCCAAAGGCUUCUCAGCUCUGUCGACCGGUAGGCCUUUAGCUCCUGCCCGGGGCCGGGGCCUCUGGCUGUGGAAGUGCAAGGUGGGGGGCUCCCGGGAAAGGGGUCAGGCGGCUGCGGGAGGGCGGUCGGCAUGUCACAGCCCCCCAGGUCGCCAGUCUGCCUGUGUUCAGCUGAAUUGCUCUGGCCAGACCCCUCUGCCCGCGCAACCUAACCCGGCGCCCCGGCCACACAUGUCCAUGGCCAGGUGUGCACCUGCAGCCCCUCACCCAGCCGGGCCCCCCUCAGUCCGUGGCUGGCGUCCCCUUCCCCUCUCCCGCCCGCUAGUCCUCUCCUCCCGGGCUGCCUCUCCUUGGCCGCCGGCCCGUCCCCGCCCCUGGGCGGGCUGUGUCCCGGGCGGGCGGGUUCUGCGGACCCGAACGGGGGCAGGCGGCUGGGGCUGGGGCUGGCCUCCGAGCGGGGCUGCAGCCCGCGUUUCCACCAACCCCCCACCCCCGCUUUCCCUGCCCGGCGACCCCGGGGCUGCCCUGCUCUUCCUUUCCUGCUCCCUGAGGACAAGCUCAGCGGCGUGGGCGCCGCUCCCUGGGCUGAGAGCCUCCGGCUGUAAAGCCCAGCUUCUGGUGGAGUCGGGAAAUUGGAUCCUCAGUGCUGAGCGAGCUUCUGUCUCCUCCCUCAGUGUUUCAGCCCCAAGGCCUGCAACAUGAGCAUCCCUGACUACGUGCAGUGUGCUGAGGACAAUGAGACUCUUCCCGUGGUGGUCAAACCAGUGGGGAUCAUCUCAGAGGAGAAUUUCUUUUGCAUCUAUAAGCGAAUAUCCUUGGUGAGCCAGAUCAGACCGUGCAGCUCCCAGGGCGCACUCUGUAUGCACUACAGGCACCACUAUGCGCCCAAGAAUGAAUGUAGCGUCUUCCAGACCCACCGCAUGGUUGUGGGCCUUGUCACCAUUACCGACUGCCUCUCGGCCAAGGCCUUCGAGAAGCUCCACGUGCAGAGGAGCUGUAUGGCAUCACGCUGAAUGACUCUCAGCUCUUUGUCUUUGUGCUGCAUGGGGAGGUAAGCCAAAGAGCCGCGCACCGACGUGGCCUUCAAUCUACGAGGACUGCAGGGUGGUGGAGAAGAGGAUCGAGGAAUUCACUGAGUCACUCUUCAUCUUGCUCAAGUCCAAGUGGCUGGAUGGGGCCCCUGAUAAGUCUGGGGACAAGAUCCCACUCCUCUGCAUGCCGUUUCAGAAGGAGGACUUCAUGGGAGUGGACCCAGACAGCAGGGCCCUGUGAUCUACAUGCCCGCGCUCCCCAUCUGUUCCUUGGAGAUGAGGUGUCAGGUUUAGGAGCCUGGGAACUGCUGAGGGCACAGCUGCCAGCACCGUGCUACACCGAGGCUGGCUCCGUUCACCCCACAUGUCACCUCCUGCUGAUCCACCAGGCGUCAGUCAAGUACGUUUUGGUUACUGAGACCCUCGAAUUCCCAUAUGAAUUGUAGCAGCAGCUAGUCAGUUACUGCAGAGGAGCCCACUGGGAUUGUGAUCGAGACCACGUUGAAUAUAUGGAUCGCUCUGUGGAGCACUGACAUUCCAAGAGCACUGUCAUCUGAUCCAGGAAUGUGCGUGGUGUGUCUGUCCAGGUGCCCUCACCUCCAUUGGCAUCCAUCCAGACACCAGCACUGACACUGGCCGUGCUCAGAACUGCCUCAGCCCUGAAGACACAACUGGCAAAUAGAAGGCGGCCACGCCCUGUUACAGCAGGUGCUCUCACUUUGUGGAUCCUUAUGUAACUGCGUGGUUUUAAUCAGGAUCGCCCGUUCUACAUUGUGUGGCGCUGCUGCCGUGUCUCCUAGUUAUUGUUUCUGGCCUGCAACAUGAGCAUCCCUGACUACGUGCAGUGUGCUGAGGAAUACGAGACUCUCCCUGUGGUCGUCCAACCCGUGGGGAUCAUUUCAGAGGACAAUUUCUUUUGCAUCUAUAAACGAAUCUCCUUGGUGAGCCAGAUCAGCCCGUGCGGCUCCCAGUGGGCACUCUGUAUCCACUACAGGCACCACUAUGCGUUCGAGAAUGCGUGGAGUGACUUCCAGACACAACGCACUGUCGUGGGCCUUGUCACCAUUACCGACUGCCUCUCUGCCAAUGCCUUCGAGAAGCUCCAUGUACAGAGGAGCUGUAUGGCACCACGCUUAAUGACUCUCAGCUCUUUGUCUUUGUGCUAUAUGGGGAGAUAGCCGAGCAGCCACGCACCAACGUGGCAUUCAAACUACGAGGACUGCCGGGUGGUGGAGAAGAGGAUCGAGGACUUCACUGAGUCACUGUUAAUCUUGCUCAAGUCCAAGUGGCUGGAUGGGGCCCCUGACAAGUCUGGGGAAAGGAUCCCCCUCCUCUGCAACUUGUUUGAGAAGGAGGACUUCAUGGGACUGGACACAGACAGCAGAGAUAUCCUUUUAGGGUCAGUGUGGAGACUUCCUCCCGCUUUUCAGCCAAGACCCCUGGUGGGACCCCUGGAGUUGCUGUCCAAUAGAGUAGCCACAGCCACUGAUGCUAUGAGCGCUGGGGAAGAGGCUGGUCUGAGCUGAGAUGUGCUGUAGGUCAAAUGCACAUCAGACGCUGAGACUUGUCUAGUAAAAAAUCGUUUUGGUUACUGAGACCCUCGAAUUCCCAUAUGAAUUAUAACAGCAGCUAAUCAGUUUUUGCAGAGGAGCCCGCUGGGAUUGUGAUCGAGACCACGUAGAAUAUACGGAUCACUCUGGGGAGCACUGCCAUUCCAAGAGCACUGUCUUCUGAUCCAGGAAUGUACGUGGCGUGUCUGUCCAGGUGCCCUCACAUCCAGUGGCAUCCAUCCAGACACCAACACUGACACUGGCCAUGCUCAGAACUGCCUCAGCCCUGAAGACACAGGUGACAAAUAGAAGGGGGCCGCGCCCUGUUACAGCAGGUGCUCUCACUUUGUGGGUCCUUAUGUAACUGCGCGGUGUUAUUCAGGAUCGCCCGUUCUACAUUGUGUGGCGCUGCUGCAGUGUCUCCUAGUUAUUUGUUUCUGAGAAUUACGGCCUGCUGCUUGAGUGUUUGAUCAGGAUAAAUGAUUUGUUUCUAUAAGAUGCCACGUACAGUCACAAUCUCAGUGAGAAAUGUGCUGUCACCUCUUCAUCUGCAACUCAGUGCUCGACAGGACAUCGGGGCAAAGCCAGUCCGUAAUUUGUUUGUGAUGCAAGUAGGAACAAAAUUAAUGUCUUGCCUUUCCCUUGCAGUAUUAUUACUCCUUUGCUUCAUUUACUUCUUUCCUCCUUUCCUUUCCCCUCCUCCACCAAAAGAUCCUGAGACUCUCUCAGAACACUAGAUUCAAAUUACUUUAAAGGGUGUCUCAUCCUCAUGAAAUGAUAGUAACUUAAAAAAAAUCUGUACAGAUACCAGACGUCAUUGUAUUUGAUUUACACACACACACGCACACCCACCCACACACACAAUCAGCCUACCUCCCACUUGCUGAGGGAGAAGGACCAAUUUUUCUGAGUUUUCAUUCACUGAGCGUGAGAGAAAAGUCUCUUACGCAGAUUUUCACCUUGAUUAGUGCAUGGUGUUUUUAAUUGGAUUUCUGCUUUGUGGCCAUAGAACUAUUCUCCUUAUAGAAGAGAGGAUGUGGAGACAUAGACAUUCUGCUGAGAUAUUGGUGUCAACAUAUUUGAGUUGGAAAGUACUUAGGACAGCAUAGAGUCGUAACUUUUUAUGGGUGAGAAUUCAUGAUAGUGUAACUUGGACAAGAACCUAGGUCUUCUGUCUUCGUGUCCACGUGGAUGAAGAGGCAACAGGGCGGGAGAUGGCAGGGAUCCUUCUUGCUUGAGUUCCAGGGUCUUGCUAGUUUUCAUUGCUCAGCUGCCUUUAGUUUAGGUCCGUGUGGCCUCUCAUGGGAAGGUCACUCUGUCCUGAUAGACUGAGUUUCUAAUCAGCAAAAAGCCCUGGACCCACUCAUAUUUCCCAGAGUUUUUCUGCUGUCCUGCUGACAGUUUAUAUAAAUGAUACCUAAGAAACUACUGGAUAUAAAAUCCUUAUUGUUAUCAUUUGCCCUCAAGUUCCAUAGGAAUGGGGUGCUGUCUCAGGCUGUCUAAGGCUAGAUCUGAACAAAGAUAGGGUGAUAGGCUGUGCUGCUGGACCCUCCCCAGUCAUAAGGGAUUUCCACCUUAGUAUUUAGAAUCAGACAGAUGAGUUCAAAUCUUGCCUUUACCAGUUAUUAGCUUUGUGAACUUGGGGAAGAAACUCUACUUGUUUGUGCCCAAUUUUCUUUAUCUGUAAAUAAGUUCAGUAUUUACUUUAGGGUUUUUGUUUUAGAAUUGAAUGAGCUAAUUCACUCAUUUAUACCGAAAAUACUGAUCGUGUGGUUCUAUGCUGGUGCCUUGGUAGAAGAUUACUAAGGGACUCAGCAGUGAGAAUGCAGGUGGGUGACCCCUGGAUCAUAGAGCUUAUAUUCCAGGAUAUGCUUGUAAAAGACUGGAUGUGCAGUGGAUUUUUAGUAAAUGUCCAUUCCUUUCUUUAUCCACAUUGAUUCUGUAUAUAUCUUUGUACAAUAUAUGAACAAUUUUUUAUUGCAAUUUAAAUCUCUUUGUAGUAUUUAAAUUAUGUAGCUAUAACAAAAUACGUGAAAUAAAAUGAUUUGUCUUUUUUUUCUUUUCAAUAUGCAAAACAAAAUAAAAUAGAAAAGAAAAAAAGGUUUUGAAGGAGUAGAAAUAAUUUUAUUUCUGUGGAAUCAAUUCCCUAUGUUAGGUUUUUUAGUUGUGUUGUUAAACAGCAUAUAAAAUUGAUAGGUUGUGACUUCAGUGUUGAUAGCUAGGUGAGUGUAGUUUCUUUUUGUGGUAGUCUUUGAUGAAUUAUUUGCACUAGAUCAUAAAUGAUGUGCAUGUUACAUAUUGGAAACGAGGAAAGAGUGGAGACAUACUACCUCCAAUGCAGUCAUCUUGUUACCAAUUCGAAACUCGUACUGCUUGCUGCAUGACAGGCCAAUAAAUCGGGAGAUUGAGGUGUUGGAGCAAGGAAUAGUGACUUUAUUUGAAAAGCUGGCAGACCCAGAAGAUGGCAGAAUGACAUGCUGGAGAACCGUCUCCCCCAAGUCAGAAAUCAGUCCGCUUCUAUACUAAAAAGGGGCGGGGAUGUGGUUGGUUGUUGCAAACUUCUUGCGGUACGAAUUGUUUCUCCUUGGAAAUCUUUGUUCUUGCAGCUGUCCACGUGGGUCAAAUCAUGGUGCCCCUCUAAUACCUCCAAAAAAAAAUCAAAGUUGAUUCUCUAUUUUGCAACUUGCCAUCUCUAUAUAAGUGCAGAAGAGUUAACAUCGUGAAAGAUCAGAGCCCGGAGAAUAGGCUCUCCUGGAUAUUUCAGCCUAAAGGCAAAUUUCUUUUACAAAAGGAUCUGAGAAGCAGGAGCAAGGAACGCAGGGAGAGAUCCAGGAAGACAUCUGACUGUGUUAAGAGAUGACAGUCACAGCCACACGGGGAGCGAGGACACUUGCAGCAAAGUAAAACGACUUCACAACUAUUGCAUCAGAGCUGCCGGUGUGAGAGAGCCUAAGCCUGUCUCAGAGUGCAGGGGACAAGCAGAAAGGAAUGUGUAAGAAUGCUGGUGACUGAGUUAGAAGCAUGCUUCAAAGCUGUCCGUGUCCUUGCCAUCCAGAAGCAGAGCCUGGGAGCUUCCGAAUUUCUCCAGAAUGCGGUUUACAUUCAUCUUCGACAGACGUUUCCAGUAAGGAUGGGGAGCAGAAGAGAAAACCCCCUGCUUCACAGUGGAAGCUGCUGUUUUGUGCAAAACUGACCAAAGUUUGGAGACCAGUCAUCAGCGGUGCUGGCAAAUGAAGAGACUUCGGGAUUUGGUGGGGCACUUGCUGCGACUUUCAGGCUCCUCCGCUCUGAUGUAAGAAUAUCCUCUUUCGACUUCUUGAUGCAGCUCCUUAAUGAAGAUCUCGUGAAGGAAACUUAGUCAAAACCUGGGAGCAUUCCUAGGAGAGAAUUCAGCAGUGCAGCAUCCUCUCCGAGCUCUAUGAUUUGAUCGGCUUCCAACGCAAGUCCGCCUUCUUCAAGCAGGUGGCCCCCGUUCAGCGCGCGGCCCCCGGCAUCCCAGAGCCUGGUGGGAAGGCCUGCUACCGACUCCUUCUGCAGAUGCUUCCUGGCUACAGUCUGUCGCUGGAUCUGCAGGACUUCAGCAAAGGUGUUGGAACUAAAACAUUGCUUCAGUCCCAUUAACCAUGCCUGGUUUGGGCCCUGCUUUCCUGUCUCAUCAGGGUGAAUUCUGAUUCGUUUAGAACAGGGCUCAGCAGACUUUUUCUGUCAAGGGCUUGGGAGUAAGUAUUUCAGGGUCUGCAAACCUCCUGAUCUCUGGUGCAGCUGCUCAGCUCUGCUGUUCAGACGCCAGAGCAGCCGGACAUUCCACACACCCACAGAGCAUUAUUAACAGUGGUGGCUGGGGCUGGAUUCGGUGUAUGAACUGCAGUUUGUCCCCACAGCCUCCUCACUAUUGACGCCUGCACCAGAGCGUGCAUUUGUGACAAUGGGUGAACCUGCACUGACACGUCAUCAUCACCCAGAGCCCAGACUUGACACUAGGAUUUACACUUGGUGGUGUGCACUCUGUGGGUUUGGACAGAUGUGCAAUGACAUGUAUCCACCGUCACAGCAUCAUACAGAGUAGUCUGUCUUAGUGACCUUAAAAUGCUCCGUGCUGCACCUCAUUCAUUGCUCCUUCCCCUCUAGCCUCUGACAGCCACUGAUCUUUUAGUCUCUGUGGUUUUCCCUUUCCCAGAACACCAUAUAGUUGGAAUCAGACAGUUGCGGUACCUUCCCAGAUUGGCUUCUUUCACUUAGUAAUAAGCAUUUAAGGUUCCUCCAUGUCUUUCCAUGCCUUGAUAACUCAUUUCAUUUUAGCACCAAAUAAUAGUCCAUUUUCUGGCUGGACCACAGUUUAUCCAUUCACCUACUGAAGAACAGCUUAGUUACUUCUGAGUUCUGGUGAUUAUGAAUAAAGCUGCUAUUAACAUCUGUAUGCAGUUUUGUGUGUGGACAUAAGUUUCCAUUUCGUCGAGUAAACACCAAGGAGCACAGUAGCCGGAUCAUAUGUUAGGAGUACGUUUAGUUUUGUAAAAAAUUGCCAGACCGUCUUCCAAAGUAUCUGGGCCCUUUUACAUUCCCACCAGCAAUGCAUGAGAAUUCCUGACGCUCCACAUCCUCACCAGCAUUCGGUGCUGUCAGUGUUCUGCGUUUUGGCAGUUCUGACAGGUGUGCAGUGGUACCUCGCUGUUUCAGUCUGCAGCCCCUUGAUGACAGAUGCUGUGGAGCAUCUUUCCAUAGACUUCUUUGGCAUCUAGAUUUCUUCUUCGAUGAGGUCUGUGUUCAGGCAUUUUGCUCAUUUUUUAAUCAGGUUGUUCAUCCUUCUUUUUGAGUUUAAAGAGAUUUUGGUAUAUUCUGGAUAUCAGCCCUUUAUCAAUGUGUCCCUGCCCUUCACCUGCAGCACCGGAGUUGUCCUUUGGGUCUCAGUGGAGUGUCAGCUCUUCAAAGAGGUUUCCUGUCUUCCCUCAGCCUAAAAACUGUCCUUGUAUUUUUCACUUUCAUUGUCUCAUUUUGUUCUUUUUAAAUAACAUUUCCCAUAAUUUCUAAGUACAUUAAAAAAAAGGGCAAUGAUUGAACAACACCUCCCCCACCAGGCCGUGUUCCCUGUGAGAACAGAGGCCCUGUCCCCACUCACCGUUUCCCAUGACAGCACAUGGCACAUGUCCAUGUAAAAGUGUGUAACGUGGGGCUAAACCUGAUGAGCAGCUAUGAUGACAUAUUUUGGCUACCAUUUAUUGAGUAGACUUUGUUUCUGAUGUUAAUUAUUAAAUCACAUGAAUGAAACAUGUUUGUUUUGAAAAAUAAAACAACAAAGCAAACCUCCA
RNA transcript from Camelus dromedarius (Arabian camel), 14151 nucleotides. RefSeq lists it as uncharacterized. Lineage: Eukaryota; Metazoa; Chordata; Mammalia; Artiodactyla; Camelidae. The record is from RefSeq and is a predicted model, not a curated record. The transcript is spliced from 24 exons.